GAAGAACUGGAGCACAGAAUAAUUGGGCUAUUGGACCACUGACACAACUGCGGAUUAGUCUACCGAUCAACGUGUUCAGUAAAAUAUAUCUGCUCAAAAACUGAUUCUUAUGAUCACCACUGGAUUUAGAAAAGACUCUUAUCACUGUUGGACUCUUUCCAAAAUGGAGCGAAAAGCCUUUAUCAUAAUGUGGAUUUUUUUUGCAACAGUUCAAGUUGGAACAACUCAGUCCACAACAGAUUCAACAUCACCAUCAUCUGUUAGUACAGUGGACACCUCUGCAACACCCACAGCUACAACAACAUCUUCAACAACCAUGACAGCGGUUACUGAAUCAUCCACCACUACUGCAGGAGUAACCACAACAUCCCCACAAACAAGUUUUACAACAGCUGAAUCCUCCAC
Molecule: long non-coding RNA, 405 nt
Organism: Carassius carassius (crucian carp)
Lineage: Eukaryota; Metazoa; Chordata; Actinopteri; Cypriniformes; Cyprinidae
Exons: 3
Source: RefSeq, a predicted model, not a curated record